GAGAGGAGAGAGGCUAAAAGGGAAGAGAGGAGAGAGGCAAAAGUAGAUAGGAGAGAGGAGAGAGGCUAAAGUAGAAAGGAGAGAGGAGAGAGGCUAAAGUAGAGAGGAGAGAGGCUAAAGUAGAGAGGAGAGAUGCUAAAGUAGAGAGGAGAAAGGCUAAAGUAGAGAGGAGAGAUGCUAAAGUAGAGAGGAGAGAGGCUAAAGUAGAGAGGAGAGAGGCUAAAGUAGAGAGGAGAGAGGAGAGAGGCUAAAGUAGAGAGGAGAGAGGCUAAAGUAGAGAGGAGAGAGGAUAGAUGAGAGAGAAGAGAUGCUAAAGUAGAGAGGAGAAAGGAGAGAGGCUAAAGUAGAGAGGAGAGAGGAGAGAGGCGAGAGGCUAAAGUAGAGAGGAGAGAGGAGAGAGGAGAGAGGAGAGAGGCUAAAGUAGAGAGGAGAGAGGAGAGAGGAGAGAGGAGAGAG
This 456-nucleotide long non-coding RNA is filed under the name Salmo salar (Atlantic salmon). RNAcentral's name for it is "lncRNA (ENSSSAG00000117754.1)". The record is from RNAcentral. Lineage: Eukaryota; Metazoa; Chordata; Actinopteri; Salmoniformes; Salmonidae.